CCCUUAGAUGUCCGGGGCUGCACGCGCGCUACACUGAAGGAAUCAGCGUGCUAAAACCAUUGCCGAAAGGCAUUGGUAAACCCAUUAAAAUCCUACGUGAUUGGGAUCGGGAAUUGCAAUUAUUUCCCUUGAACGAGGAAUUCCCAGUAAGUGUGGGUCAUAAGCUCGCGUUGAUUACGUCCCUGCCCUUUGUACACACCGCCCGUCGCUGCCCGGGACUGAGCCGUUUCGAGAAAAGCGGGGACUGCUGCUGUCGGGGCUUUCGGGCCUUGGCUUCGGUGGAAACCGCUUUAAUCGCAGUGGCUUGAACCGGGCAAAAGUCGUAACA
Molecule: ribosomal RNA, 328 nt
Filed under: uncultured eukaryote
Lineage: Eukaryota
Description: partial 18S ribosomal RNA
Rfam family: Eukaryotic small subunit ribosomal RNA
Source: RNAcentral